This 148-nucleotide non-coding RNA is filed under the name Homo sapiens (human). The record is from Rfam by way of RNAcentral. Lineage: Eukaryota; Metazoa; Chordata; Mammalia; Primates; Hominidae.
GCCGGGCGUGGUGGCUCGCGCCCGUAGUCCCGGCUACUCGGGAGGCUGAGGCACAAGAAUCGCUUGAACCCAGGAGGCAGAGGUUGCAGUGAGCCGAGGUGGUGCCACUGCAUUCCAGCCUGGGUGACAGAGCGAGAUUCUGUCUCAA